AUUGAACGCUGGCGGCAUGCCUUACACAUGCAAGUCGAACGGCAGCACGGGAGCAAUCCUGGUGGCGAGUGGCGAACGGGUGAGUAAUAUAUCGGAACGUGCCCGGUCGUGGGGGAUAACGUAGCGAAAGCUACGCUAAUACCGCAUACGAUCUACGGAUGAAAGCGGGGGAUCGCAAGACCUCGCGCGAUUGGAGCGGCCGAUAUCAGAUUAGGUAGUUGGUGAGGUAAAGGCUCACCAAGCCGACGAUCUGUAGCUGGUCUGAGAGGACGACCAGCCACACUGGGACUGAGACACGGCCCAGACUCCCUAGGGACGGGACGACGACGACGUA
This 334-nucleotide ribosomal RNA is filed under the name uncultured bacterium. Its description in RNAcentral is "bacterial SSU rRNA". It matches the Rfam family "Bacterial small subunit ribosomal RNA", at positions 30 to 364 of the family's 1533-position model. The record is from RNAcentral.